Molecule: non-coding RNA, 1497 nt
Organism: Coffea arabica (coffee)
Lineage: Eukaryota; Viridiplantae; Streptophyta; Magnoliopsida; Gentianales; Rubiaceae
Source: RefSeq, a predicted model, not a curated record
AAAAAAUUGAAUACGGUCUCUCAAAGUCCCAAAGUGGUCUCUCGGACGGCCAGACACAAAUACUACUACAAAAUAAAGACACACAGUCACACAGUACCCAACACAGUCCCAUUUCAUCAUCAUCCUUCACUCUCUACUCCUUACUGUUUCAGGCUUUCAGCUCCAGAGAAAAGAGAAGGAGAAGAAAAAUAAUAAUACUUAAUAAUCAUUAGCAUUAACGAAGAAGAGAACCUGGGAAUCCCAGAGGGAGCAGGAGUUAUAGAAACGGCAGCAUUGGAAUUUCAGAAGCUCAGAUCCUUUUAAGAAAGAGAGAGAUUGAGAUUUCAAGCGAAGAAAAGACUGAAAGAUUAGGUAAUGGAGAGAACCACACCGGUUAGGAAGCCUCACACUUCUACAGCAGAUCUGCUCACUUGGUCGGAAAAUCCGCCGGAAAAUUCUGCGGCACUGGGCUCCGCUUCCUCCGCUGCUCGGUCCUCCGCCCGCUCCCACCAGCCGUCAGAUGGAAUCAGAAAGGUUGUGUUUGGAGGGCAGGUGACGGAUGAAGAAGUUGAAAGCUUGAAUAAACGGAAACCAUGCUCAGACUAUAAGUUAAAGGAAAUUACAGGUAGCGGUAUUUUUAAGCCAGGUGGUGAGAAUGAUAUCCUUGAAUCUGAUAGUGCUGACCCAAGUGCUGCUAAUAAAACUGGUUUACGCAUGUACCAGCAAGCGGUUGCUGGAAUCAGUCAAAUUUCCUUUGGUGAUGAAGAAACUGUCACUCCAAAGAAGCCUACUACUCUGCCUGAAGUGGCGAAGCAGCGGGAGCUAAGUGGAAACCUGGAAAGUGAAUCUGAGGCAAAGCUGAAGAAGCAAAUUUCAAAUGCAAAGUCGAAGGAGCUUAGUGGCCAUGACAUCUUUGCUCCCCCUCCUGAAAUUCAACCUCGACCAUUGGCUGCUCGUGCACCAGCUCUAAGAGAGAGCAUUACCAUUGGAGAAACUGCUGCACGCAAUGCCACUGGAAAUGCAGGCGAUGAGGUAUCUAAUGAAGAAACAAUGCUUAAAACAGCGAAAAAGAUUCCAGAGAAGAAAUUUGUAGAGCUGUCGGAAACAACAUUUUCAAGGGAGAUGCACCUCCGUCAUCUGCCGAGAAGCCACUGAGUUCUGCGAAGUUGCAAGAGAUGAGCGGGAGCAACAUUUUUGCCGAUGGAAAGGUAGAAUCUCGAGAUUACUUUGGCGGGGUUCGCAAGCCCCCUGGUGGUGAGAGCAGCAUCGCUCUGGUGUAAUGUUAUUAGGUCUGACUCCAUUAAAUUACAUUAUUAUUUGUGUCUUCGCCUCUCCUCUCCUAGUGGAGAUUCGUCCUCAAACGGAAGACUUUGUGUUCUGGCUUUUGGUGUGGCUCAGGUUAACAUGUGCUCCAUAGUUAUAGACGAUUUGCUAAUUGGGUUAUAUGUCCAUAAUCUUGUUUUCAUGCUAUUUGUGUCGAUGAAUGGUCUUGCUUGCUUUAAUAUAUUGAUGUUUUAC